RNAcentral lists this unclassified non-coding RNA (2789 nucleotides) under Limulus polyphemus (Atlantic horseshoe crab). RNAcentral's name for it is "elongator complex protein 1-like, transcript variant X2". Lineage: Eukaryota; Metazoa; Arthropoda; Merostomata; Xiphosura; Limulidae. The record is from RNAcentral.
AUUGUAGGUUUUACGCCCCCCUCUUUUUCACGACUCGUAUAUUAAAGUUCAUAUUUUCCAAUUUUGCUUUCCAUAUUCCUGAAAUUUUAGAGUAUAGAAAGAGCAAAUAGUAAUUAAAUUCAGCUUCGUUUCUCUACAACUCAUACAUGUGUCCUAGUAAUACUAACAGUAGUUGUAGUAGUACUAAGAUUUAAACUUAAAGACCAAUGAAGAAUUUGAAGUUAAUAUAUGUGACACAGGUAGAACAUAAAACAUUAAAAUGUGAUGAGGUGAGCAAAGUUUGUGUCAACUCUGAGAGUCAUGUUGUGUAUAUUGUCAGUAAGGAAAAUCUUUAUGCUGUAUCAGCUGAAACUGGUGAGUUUCAGUUUUUAACAUCACUGGAACCUGGAAUAGUUGUUGCUUUUACAUACUUAUAUGAACAACAGUCUCUCUGCAUUGCUAUGGAAAAUGGAAAUUUGUUUCUUGUGAACAUAUUCACAAAGGCAGUUGAAUGUGUUGGUUUUGUGCAAGGUGGGCUGCUUGCAACAAGUUGGAGUCCUGACCAAGAAAUUAUUAUCUUUUUAACAGCUCAAGGUACUUUGGUUCUGAUGACAAAAGAUUUUGACACAGUUCUGGAAAAAAGCCUGCAUUCAAAGGAGUUGGGUGAAAUUCAACCAGUAACAGUUGGUUGGGGAUCAAAAGAGACUCAAUUCCAUGGAUCAGAAGGAAAACAAGCAGCAAAACUUCAACAACAGACUACACAGCAUGUGCUCACUUGGGAUGAUAGGCAAACUCGCAUCAGUUGGAGAGGAGAUGGACAGUUUUUUUGUACUUCUUUUAUUGAUCCAGAAAAAGGGUGCAGGAAGUUAAAUAUAUGGAACAGAGAAGCUGUACUUCAGUACACUGCUGAGGAAGUUGAUGGCUUAGAACAUCCAUUGGAUUGGAGGCCAUCUGGUAACCUCAUAACUUCUUCACAGACAAAGCUAAACAAACAUGACAUUGUCUUUUUUGAAAAGAAUGGCCUUCGACAUGGAGAAUUCACUCUUCCAUUUCCUCCAGGAUCUUUCAAGAUUAAAGAAGUCUUAUGGAAUUCAGAGUCUACAAUAUUAACCAUUUGGGGUCAGCUAAUACAAGAGAAAAAUGGUUACAAUGAACACAGAAUAUUACUGUGGACAACCAGCAACUAUCAUUGGUAUUUAAAACAAAGCCUCAGCUUUAACAAAUAUCAUGUGACAGCGGUCUUAUGGGAUGUAAUAGACCCAUACAUGCUUCAUGUGACUUGUUCUGGCGGACAUUACCUUUGCUACAAAUGGACCUGGAUGGUUAACCACAGCAAGAGCUACUCAUCCGAUGAUAAUGCGUGUGUUGCUGUUAUUGAUGGGGCUCAUCUAAAGGUGACACCAUUUCGUCAAACAGUCAUUCCCCCACCAAUGUGUGCAUAUGAGUUAGAAUUUCCAGAUACUAUAUCCCAGGUUGUUUUUCCCCCCAAAAUUGCAAGCAACUACGACAUGCUUGUAGUUUUAUCAGAUGGAAGAAUAGCUCUGUGUAAUAAGAAGGACAGCUCUACUACUCAGGAAGACUGUUGUGUAAUUGUAAAAAAUGCAGGACAAAAUGGCUUUAAGAAGCAGGGUCUUGUACACUGUGUGACCAGCUUAUUCAGGGUUCAGUGGAGUGAUAAUAUCAAUGUUCCAUUGAUUCCAAUGUGUAUACAUCACUGGACCUGUGUUGCUGGUGAUACUGUAGUAUGUGCUUCUCCUGUUCAGGGUAGAACUGCCUUGUUGUCUGUCAAUUUGAAGAAUCACAAUACAGACUCAGAAAAAGUACUGGGAAGAUUGAUAUCAAUGUUGAAGGCUUCUUUGUUAAACAUGUGUACAAACAAUGAUGGUGAUAUUGUGGCUUUACAACUUACUGACGGUCUUGUGUUAAAAUAUAUCCUUGAUACUGAGGUCAUCACUCCUUGGGCUACAGACCAAGGUGAUUUGCAGUUUCCACAACCCUGUAGUACCAUGGCAGUUUGUAAAGUAGCAGGAAAGGACCGAGUGUUGGGUCUAACUGAGAGGUUUUAUUUCUACUGUGACAAUGUUCAACUUUCCAGCAGCUGCACUUCAUUUUGUUGUAAUAGAGAUUUCUUAUUUAUAACCACACAUGACCAUACCCUGAGAAGUCUGAGUCUUAGCCACGAACUACCUCAAAUCAUGGAAGGUAGUUUAGUACAUGACAAUAAAGAUAACAUUCGGCAUUUAGAGAGAGGAUCAAGAAUUGUUGUGACAGUGCCAUAUGAUACAAAAGUGAUAUUACAAAUGCCACGUGGAAAUAUUGAGUGCAUCCAUCCUCGUAGCCUUGUUUUAGCUAAAAUUCUUAGUCUCCUAGACAAGUACUGUUCAUACGGAAAAUCAGAAGAUAAAUUGAAGCAUGGCAAGCAAAAAAAAUUAAAAUACUUGUUAGGAGUUUUAACUGCACAUGUCAAGAAAAAGCAACCUGAACUUGAAGAUGCUUUGGUGAAGAUAAAAAAGCUCAAAGCUUACUUUCAGACUCAACUUCAAACUGUGAAAUUACUCCUCUUGUUUCUGCUGAUGAAGCAUUAAAGUACCUGUUAUACAUGGUGAAUGUAAAUAAACUGUUUGAUGUUGCUCUUGGUACAUACAGCUUUGAUAUGGUCCUAAUGGUGGCUGAAAAAACCCAGAAGGAUCCGAAAGAAUACUUACCGUUUUUAAAUGAGCUACAACAACUGGACCCUACUUAUCAAAAGUAUAAAAUUGACUUACAUCUUUGUCGAUUUAGAAAAUCACUCCAUCAUUUAUGUAAAUGUG